GGGGAAUAUUGCACAAUGGGCGAAAGCCUGAUGCAGCGACGCCGCGUGAGCGAAGAAGUAUUUCGGUAUGUAAAGCUCUAUCAGCAAGGAAGAUAAUGACGGUACUUGACUAAGAAGCCCCGGCUAACUACGUGCCAGCAGCCGCGGUAAUACGUAGGGGGCAAGCGUUAUCCGGAUUUACUGGGUGUAAAGGGAGUGUAGGUGGCAUGGCAAGUCAGAAGUGAAAACCCGGGGCUCAACCCCGGGACUGCUUUUGAAACUGCCAAGCUAGAGUGCAGGAGAGGUAAGUGGAAUUCCUAGUGUAGCGGUGAAAUGCGUAGAUAUUAGGAGGAACACCAGUGGCGAAGGCGACUUACUGGACUGUAACUGACACUGAGGCUCGAAAGCGUGGGGAGCAAAC
RNAcentral lists this ribosomal RNA (400 nucleotides) under uncultured bacterium. Its description in RNAcentral is "bacterial SSU rRNA". It matches the Rfam family "Bacterial small subunit ribosomal RNA", at positions 356 to 773 of the family's 1533-position model. The record is from RNAcentral.